Molecule: long non-coding RNA, 1273 nt
Organism: Bombus terrestris (buff-tailed bumblebee)
Lineage: Eukaryota; Metazoa; Arthropoda; Insecta; Hymenoptera; Apidae
Exons: 4
Source: RefSeq, a predicted model, not a curated record
UUUGAUUACGUAUGAAUAGAUGAUGUUGAGAACAAUGCGUAAUGAGAGCAAAACAAUAUUGGAAUGCCUGACGUCAGAGAAAUUUAAAGAUAUCCUUAAGUAUAACUUACAUCUUGUUCUGGACUUGGAGGUCCUGCUUUUUUUGGUUUAGUAAUAGCAGCAAGCUCAGGAAUAGGAAGACAAAGUGGUCGCUUUGAUCCAUAUAAAGUGUAAUAUAAAUCAACUAGAUCACAUCGGAUUUUAGGAUCAUGAGAGAGCAUGCCACUAUACGGUCAACCAAUUCAGAACGGUCUAAACGAUGUUUAUGCGCCCUUUCAAACGGUGGGUUUUCAACCAUAAGCCUCACUAAUCUAUGUUGUACUCCAGGAUGAGGAUCCAUUUCUAUCAUAUCUAACAAAAAUUCUAAAUCUUCCCAUUUACCAUCUACUCUGGUAAAGUCUACUAAUGCCUCUAAAGCUGCAAUCCUAACAUCUAAAACAAUUAUGAUAAACUAUGAAUUUCGGCAUUAUUAAUAUGUUUGAUAUAAAAUAUAAAACACCUUAUAUACCUAUGAAUUGUCCAUAUGUAGCAUAUGCUCUAAAAAGGUGAGGAUUACUUGGCAGAUGACCAAACUUUUGUAAAAUUCUAAUGACUUUAAUACAAGCAACACUGAUUGUGUAUUUAUAGCAAGGUAAUAAUUUUUCCAAAUUUAAAUUUCUGGUGACUUCCUCUAAUAUAGCUUUAGUAUCAACUGAUAGAGAUUCAGCAUUAAUAGCAGUCCUAAAAAAAGAUUAAUAUAUACAUAAUCACAAAAGUAUACUAUAUGUUACUUUUUAAUGUUUAUUAUACCCUUGCUGCACACUGAUUACAGGUGUAACAGUAGCUCCAAGUGCUUCAAUUAAUGCAGCUCGAUAAUAAUUAUCCGAAUAUCUAUUUUUACUGUUGUCAUUGUAUUUAAAUAAAUCCAUCAAAAAAGCCAAAACUUCUGGCGGGCAUAUACCGUGAGCAUUACGUAAACCAGCCAUCGCCACAGCCCGUUUAUCAUAGAAAACAUUAGUCAAACCUUUUGUAAAAAAUAAUGUUGGAAAUUUGAGAAAUUAUUCUGUUUAAUUAUCCGUCUGCAUGAAGCCGAACCAAAUAAUUUCCGAAAUAUGGCUAACAUUGCUGGUGGGCCAGCCCAAGUUGCAACCAUUGCAUUAGCUACCUAUAAUAUUUAUUAAUAUAAGAGAAUUGUAUGUAAAAAAGUAAUUUUAAAUCAUGAAUAUUUAAAAUAUAGAUAACCUUAGUUAAACAA